This 207-nucleotide ribosomal RNA is filed under the name uncultured bacterium. Its description in RNAcentral is "partial 16S ribosomal RNA". It matches the Rfam family "Bacterial small subunit ribosomal RNA", at positions 568 to 774 of the family's 1533-position model. The record is from RNAcentral.
CUCGUAGGCGGUUUGUCGCGUCUGCUGUGAAAAUCCAAGGCUCAACCUUGGACCUGCAGUGGGUACGGGCAGACUAGAGUGCGGUAGGGGAAAUGGGAAUUCCUGGUGUAGCGGUGGAAUGCGCAGAUAUCAGGAGGAACACCAAUGGCGAAGGCACAUCUCUGGGCCGUAACUGACGCUGAGGAGCGAAAGCGUGGGGAGCGAACA